RNAcentral lists this ribosomal RNA (282 nucleotides) under uncultured bacterium. Its description in RNAcentral is "partial 16S ribosomal RNA". It matches the Rfam family "Bacterial small subunit ribosomal RNA", at positions 335 to 600 of the family's 1533-position model. The record is from RNAcentral.
ACUCCUACGGGAGGCAGCAGUGGGAAUAUUGCACAAUGGGGAAAGCCAUCGAUGCAGCCAUGCCGCGCUGUGUGAAGAAGGCCAAUUCGGGCUUGGUUAAAGACACAUUUUCAGUAGGGAGGAAGGUAGUGUAGUUAACACCUGCACUAUUUGACGUUACCUACAGAAGAAGCACCGGCUAACUCCGUGCCAGCAGCCGCGGUAAUACGGAGGGUGCGAGCGUUAAUCGGAAUUACUGGGCGUAAAGCGCAUGCAGGCGGCCUGUUAAGUCAGAUGUGAAAG